This 312-nucleotide unclassified non-coding RNA is filed under the name plant metagenome. RNAcentral's name for it is "partial contains 5.8S ribosomal RNA, internal transcribed spacer 2, and large subunit ribosomal RNA". The stretch from base 1 to 103 matches the Rfam family "5.8S ribosomal RNA", at positions 51 to 154 of the family's 154-position model. The record is from RNAcentral.
AAAUGCGAUACGUAAUGUGAAUUGCAAAUUCAGUGAAUCAUCGAGUCUUUGAACGCACAUUGCGCCCCCUGGUAUUCCGGGGGGCAUGCCUGUCCGAGCGUCAUUUCUGCCCUCAAGCACGGCUUGUGUGUUGGGCCCCGUCCUCCGAUCCCGGGGGACGGGCCCGAAAGGCAGCGGCGGCACCGCGUCCGGUCCUCGAGCGUAUGGGGCUUUGUCACCCGCUCUGUAGGCCCGGCCGGCGCUUGCCGAUCAACCCAAAUUUUUAUCCAGGUUGACCUCGGAUCAGGUAGGGAUACCCGCUGAACUUAAGCA